CCUCCCCCUCCCCCUGAGUCGAUCACCUCAGCUCGCGCCCUUUCUCUAUCGCGAUCCCCACCCCCGCGCACCCCACAUCCCCUCACUCCCCCUCCCCCUCUCCCUCUCCCUCCCCUCUCGAUCCAAGCUGCGUCGCGGCGUUCUCUAAGCUCGGAUCCGGGGGAGGAGCUCUCCGCGGCGGAGGAGCUCUCGGCGGCGGCGGCGUCGUCUCCGGCGGCGGCGUCGUCCUCCGCCAUGGUGAAGGCGAUCCGCGUCCACGAGCUCGGAGGCCCCGAGGUGUUGAAGUGGGAGGAGGUGGAGAUUGGGGGGCCCAAGGAGGGAGAGAUCCGAGUGAAGAACAAAGCGAUUGGCGUUAAUUUUAUCGAUGUUUAUUUCCGUAAAGGGGUUUAUAAUGCGCCUUUGCCCUUUACUCCAGGGAUGGAAGCAGUGGGAAGUUGUGACUGCAGUGGGCCCUGGAUUGACGGGCCGCAAAGUAGGGAAUGUCGUAGCAUAUGCCGGUAAUCCGAUGGGUUCUUAUGCUGAGGAGCAGAUCCUUCCGGCAAGUGUUGCAGUUCCUGUCCCAUCUUCCAUUGACUUCAGUGUUGCAGCAGCUGUUAUGCUUAAGGGCAUGACUGCUCAAGUUUUACUGCGCCGUGUCUUCAAGGUUGAGCGAGGCCACACAGUUCUCGUCCUAGCCCUUCAAUGGUUCUGUUUGAUGUAAGAAAUUUUCCCAACUGAGAAGAAAUUACUAUACAAGGUCGCAUGCCGAAUCAAAUCUAGUGAAGUUCUCUAUAUCUACUGUUUCCAACUAAAAGCUUACUUUCCUCUGAGCCAUCAAUUGUGAACCUGACGCUUAUUGACCUUCCUGGGCUGACUAAGGUUGCUGUUGAACAGCUGGAGUUGCGAAAAUUGAAGUUGGAAGCAAGAGUUUCAAACAUGCGGUGUUUGUUAUUUUUUAGCUACAUUUUGAACAAGUAUUUUUUGUUAGAACUUAUGUUUGAAAUUUAAUUUGAAUACUGAGAUUGUAAUUUGAGAGUUGA
Molecule: long non-coding RNA, 1019 nt
Organism: Ananas comosus (pineapple)
Lineage: Eukaryota; Viridiplantae; Streptophyta; Magnoliopsida; Poales; Bromeliaceae
Exons: 7
Source: RefSeq, a predicted model, not a curated record